RNAcentral lists this long non-coding RNA (5743 nucleotides) under Salmo salar (Atlantic salmon). RNAcentral's name for it is "lncRNA (ENSSSAG00000083203.1)". The stretch from base 353 to 406 matches the Rfam family "UnaL2 LINE 3' element". Lineage: Eukaryota; Metazoa; Chordata; Actinopteri; Salmoniformes; Salmonidae. The record is from RNAcentral.
CGGAGCUGUGAAGGGAACGGCACCUCCAUACCUUCAGGCUCUGAUCAGGCCCUACACCCAAACAAGGGCACUGCGUUCAUCCACCACUGGCCUGCUGGCCCCCCUACCUCUGAGGAAGCACAGUUCCCGCUCAGCCCAGUCAAAACUGUUCGCUGCUCUGGCACCUCAAUGGUGGAACAAGCUCCCUCACGACGCCAGGACAGCGGAGUCAAUCACCACCUUCCGGAGACACCUGAAACCCCACCUCUUUAAGGAAUACAUAGGAUAAAGUAAUCCUUCUAACCCCCCCCCCCCCUUAAAAGAUUUAGAUGCACUAUUGUAAAGUGGUUGUUCCACUGGAUAUCAUAAGGUGAAUGCACCAAUUUGUAAGUCGCUCUGGAUAAGAGCGUCUGCUAAAUGACUUAAAUGUAAUGUAAAUGUUUGUUGGUAACGGUCGUGAGCAUCAGAUAAAUGCUCGAGCUCUAACAUUAUUGAAAACAGACAACUCUUUUUUUUGAAAAUAUUGUAUCCAGUAUAAGAAAACAUGAAUAUUAUUAUUUUUUUUUUAUAUGAAUUAAUAUAACGAUGGUGCAGUAAAACCGUCCUGUUUUGUUGAUACGGGAUUUCCAUGGUUACUAAAAUUGCGGCGCGUCCUCUGAAGUUGAGUGGCACAUCAAAUGCUUGCUAGUUAGCAAACUAACGUUAGCUCAUUACUUCGAAGUUUGACAAAGAAAAUAACCGGUUGAAAAUACUGAAACGAGUUGCCUAGCUGGUAUCUCUGGCAAUUAUGUAAUAUUUUGAGGCAUUAUCGGACUCGGAGUCUGAACCUGAUGACUCACAGUUCAGUCGAUGAGCCCCAAUUUAGUUCUGAAAGGGACGAUGAGUAAUUGUUACAAUCAACCGAAGUCAUCCAGAAUGGUGGAAAGGGUAAAGGCAUUGAAUUUGGCCGUCAUGUCAACAAACGACAGGCACGGAAAUGUGUUUCUCUCAACUGAGUUUUGCAAACCAAAGAAGAUGGGAGUUGACGUGUCUGUUUUCAUCAGAGAUAAACUAGGCCAAACUGCGAGAUAAACUAGGCCAAACUGCGAGAUUGUAUAAACAUUGGUAUCAGUCAUUCUUGGUAAGUGUCAAUAUUCGCCUCAAAUAUUAAUGAACGAACCUAUUAGCUAAUUAAGCAAUAUGGCACGGGGAGGUGUGGUAACUGGCCAAUAUAAGACUGCUAAGGGCUGUUCUCAUCACGACGCAACGUGGAGUGCCUGGACACAGCCCUUAACCGUGGUAUAUUGGCCAUAUACCACAAACCCCUGGUUACCAACUACCAAUUUGAGCAGUAAAAAUAAAUGUUUUGUCAUAUGCGUUGUAUACGGUCUGAAAUACCACGUCUGUCAGCUGAUCAGCAUUCAGGGCUCGGAACUACCCAGUUCAUACCAACUCCCCCAAAAGAAACUCAGUCCAGCUUUAAACUUACUCUUGAAAGUUGUAAUAGUAGAAUGCACAAGGUGCAAUUUCUAAAUUGGGUAGUGCAUCAUCAGUUCAUCUUGUAAUGUUAGUCAUACCUUAGAGAGCUAUUUAUAGAAAUGUCCAGAUCAACUACCCCUCAGCUAACGUCUUUUUAGCCCAUAGGUAUUGCUGUAAACAUUUUGUUGGUUUUAUCUGUCAGGAUCUGUAUUAUUUCUAUUUCAAGUUCUUCAUCAAAGCACCAUCCUAUUUGUAUUGGCUCCACCUGAUCAUGGAGUACCCUCUUGUGAUCAAUGCUCUGAAGAGGCUCAAUCUGUUCUCAGAGGAAGUGGAGGAGUUGGAACUAUCUGGUAUUACUUUGCUAGCAAGAAUUUAUCAUUUUGUAAAUAUGCAAGUGCAGAUAUUUAUUUAUUUCACCAAACAAAGACAAAGGAGAAACAAUGGCUAUCAAACUUUGCUUUGGCUGGGGUCGUGGAAGCUGCAGGCAUGGUGAUUUGAGCUAUCCAAUUGGCCAGUGCUGUAGGCACACUCAAGAGUUUCUUUUCAGACAAAUGAAAUGGUCCAAAAGGGAAACACUUUGCUUACCCGGUGCGCAGGGCUUCUGAAUCAAGUGAACAUACCGCCAACAGCGCAAAAAAAAUGUAUGUUUGGUGAUCAACUAUGAAUGCCUAGAAGAUCGACCAGUCGAUGACCACUGGUUUGUUGUAAGCCAUGACAAGUAGUGGCAUGAUGGCACAAACAGACAGGUACCCAGGCUAGUUUAUCCCUAUGGUACUCCAUAAAACCAUGGUCUUUGGUAUCUUUGGGGUCCUUUCCAGAGGCAGUUGUCUUGGAGGUGUCAUCAACGUCCUGGGUCUCUUCAACCAUGGAGAGAGCACUUGGGUCAUGUGGACUCCACCGCUGAGGGAGAGCUUCUCCUAUCCCUUCUUUGUCCUGCAGAUGCUGCUGUGAACACACAUUCUCGGGCAUUCCAACCCUGGAGGAAGAUCCCUAGUAAUUAUUGGUGCUUGCAAUGUGUUGUUCCUUCUUCCUUGGCCAUUUGCCCAGUUUGUCUUGCUAACUCAGGUUGCAUGUCUGUUUGCCUGUUAUUUGAUGGGCUUUCUCCACUGCCAAGAUGACGUCACUACUUGUUGUGCACCUGGCUUCACUUGCCAUCUGCUUUAUUAUGUUGUUUGAGAAUUUGGCACUUUGACAUCUUUUUACACUUUUUCCUUGGUUGCUGGUUGGGCCAUCGUCGCACUGAGAGACAAUGUUGCACGAGUCUGCAAACCUGGAAUCGUCACAAUUGCAGUAAUUUAGUUAUAUGCUGGGGUACAUUUGUGAAAUUACAUUCCUCAGAAUUUGACAUUUUUCUGUGACCUUUUUCAAGAGAGAUCUAUUGAAUUCCACUGGUAUGAUAGCAUCCCAUGGGUCUCAACUCUAUACCCCCAAUGUAACACCUGGUAACAUGCAAUUACAUACAGAGUAUUGGGAAAGUAUUCAGACCCCUUCUCUUUUUCCAAAUGUAGUUACAUUACAGCCUUAUUUUAAAAUAGCUGAAAUUAGAUUUUUUUUCUCAUCAAUCUACACACAAUACCCCAUAAUGACAAAGCGAAAAGUUUCUUAGAAAGUUUAGCAAAUGUAUAAAAACAAAACAAAUCUGAAAUACCUUAUUUACGUAAGUAUUCAGACCCUUUGCUAUAAGAUAAGAAAUUUAUCUCAGGUUAAUCCUGUUUCCAUUGUUCAUUCUUGAGAUGUUUCUACAACUUGAUUGGAGUCCACCUGUGGUAAAAUCAAUUGAUAUGACAUGAUUUGGAAAGGCACACACCUAUAUAAGGUCCCACAGUUGACAGUGCAUGUCAGAGCAAAAGCCAAGCCAUGAGGUCGAAGGAAUUGUCCGUAGAGCUCCGAGACAGGAUUGUGUCAAGGCACAGAUCUGUAGAUUGGUACCAAAAAAAUGUCUGCAGCAUUGAUGGUCCCUAAGAACGAAACAUGACAAUUAGAGAAAUAAACCACGUGAGAUUUUUGAGUGAGAAUUAAGACUUUCGAGUAGUAGGACAUGUAUAAAAGCAACAGAUACCAUUAAUAAGAAGCGGCUAGACGCGUCUUAUAUGGUGAGCUACCGAGUGGUUAGGACAGGCAAGCCCCAUACUAUUGCGGAGGACUUAAUUCUUCCUGCUGCCGCAGAUCUGGCUGGGACAAUGCUGGGUGAAAAGGCCCAAAAAAACUAUACAGACAAUGACUUAAAUCAAACUACCCUGUUUCCCGAAGCAUCAGUGACAUGGCAGGAGAUGUUUUGAAACAAUUACUUCUUCGCAUACAAGCCAGUGAAUUCUAUGCGUUACAGCUGGAUGAGUCAACAGACGGGCCUGACACAGCUCCUGGUAUAUGCCCGUUACGUUUAUGGGGGGUCAAUUAAGGAAGACAUCCUCUUCUGGAAACCAGGACAACAUGAGAGGAUAUUUUUAAAGUACUGGACAGCUUUGUGACACCAAAUGGACUUUGGUGGUCAAGAUGUGUUGUAUCUGUACUAAUGGCGAAAAAGCCAUGACAGGGACAAGCUGCAACAUCGAGAGCAUCUUGACUGGUUGCAUCACUGCCUGGUAUGGCAACUGCUCGGCUUCCGACCGCAAGGCACUACAGAGGGUGCCAUCCAGGACCUCUACACCCCCCCCGACCCCUCUUUCAUCUAUGCAUAGUCACUUUAACUAUACAUUCAUGUACAUAUUACCUCAAUCAGCCAGACUAACCGGUGCCCCCGCACAUUGGCUACCCGGACUAUUUGCAUUGUUUCCCCCCACCCGCCAACCCCUCUUUUUACGCUGCUGCUACUCUCUGUUUAUCAUCUAUGCAUAGUCACUUUAACUAUACCUACGUGUACAUAUUACCUCAAUCAGCCCGACUAACCGGUGCCGCCGCACAUUGACUCUGUACCGGUGCCACCUGAAUAUAGCCUCCAACUGUUAUUUUCACUGUCAUUUUACUGUUUAAUUUUUUUUUAAAUUUACUUCUCUAUUGUUUACCUAAUACCUGUUUUUUACUUAAGAAUUGAGCUGUUGGUUAGGGCUUGUACGUACGCAUUUCACUGUAAGGUCUAAACCUGUUGUAUUCGGCGCACUUGACAAAUAAACUUUGAUUUGAUUUGAGGUUGACAUGGUGGAGUGGUAUCGCGCGUGUAAGCAGUUGCUCCCGACGCCACUUGGGUACACUGCAGCAUCCACCGAGAGGCUCUUGCUGCCAGGGCCUUUCAAGCCUGACAGCUUGAAAGACGUUUUGGACACUACAGUGAAAAUGGUUAACUUUGUUAAAGCAAGGUUCCUGAACUCUCGUGUAUUUUCUGCAUUAUGCAAUGAUAUGGGCAGCGACCAUGUAAGGCUUUUACGACAUACAGAGGUGCGCUGGUUAUCAAGGGGCAAAGUAUUGACAAAUAUUUUUGUAAUAGAGAGACGAGCUUAAAGUUUUCUUUACUGACCAUCAUUUUCCCUUGUCUGACCACUUGCAUGAUGAUGAGUUUCUCACACGACUGGCCUAUCUGGGUGAUGUUUUUUCUCGUCUGAAUGAUCUGAAUCUAGGAUUACAGGGACUCUCCGCAACUAUAUUCAAUGUGCAGGACAAAAUUGAGGCUAUGAUUAAGAAGUUAGAGCUCUUUUCUUUCUGCAUUAACAUGGACAACACACAGGUCUUUCCAUCAUUGUAUAAUUUUUUGUGUGCAAAUUAACUCAAUCUUACGGACAAAUGUCAAAUGUGAUAUAGCGAAGCACCUGAGUGAGUUGGGUGCACAGUUACGCAGAUACUUUCCCGAAACGGACGACACAAACAACUGGAUUCGUUAUCCCUUUCAUGGCCUGCCUCCAGUCCACUUACCGAUCGAUAUCUGAACAAGAGAGCCUCAUCGUAAUUGCAACAAGCGGUUCUGUGAAAAUUCAAUUUAAUCAGAAGCCACUGCCAGAUCUCUGGAUAGGGCUGCUCUCAGUUUCUUGCCUUGGCAAAUCGCGUUGUUAAGACACUGCCCUUUGCAACCACGUACCUAUGUGAGAGUGGAUUCUCGGCCCUCACUAGCAUGAAACCCAAAUUCAGGCACAAUUAUUUAAGACAGACUCUCCAAUACAACCCAGCAUUGCAGUCAUGUGCAUCCUUUCAAGCACAACCUUCUUAUUAACCUGUGUUCUGCGAUCUGGGACAUGGAGGAUCAGGAGAAUGGGAAAGUUGUCGCUAUGUACCCUCCUGUCCAUCAACUCCCCACCUCACUUCACCACAAUGUUCGAGAACAAAGUCUACAAAGUGCUGAAAAUCCCCAAAGCUGCCAAAUAUUACCUUUUUAAUAUAG